Molecule: transfer RNA, 80 nt
Filed under: Nitrospinota bacterium
Lineage: Bacteria; Pseudomonadati; Nitrospinota
Also listed under: 2 other names
Description: tRNA-Leu
Rfam family: tRNA
About the family: Transfer RNA (tRNA) molecules are approximately 80 nucleotides in length. Their secondary structure includes four short double-helical elements and three loops (D, anti-codon, and T loops).
Source: RNAcentral
GCGAGGGUGGCGGAACUGGCAGACGCGCUGGUUUUAGGAACCAGUGGGCAACCGUGGGGGUUCGAAUCCCCCCCUUCGCA